GAGGGUAGAGCUCAGUGGUAAAGCACAUGCUCACCAUGCACGAGGUCCUGGGUUCAAUCCCCAGAACCUUCA
RNAcentral lists this transfer RNA (72 nucleotides) under Camelus bactrianus (Bactrian camel). It matches the Rfam family "tRNA". From Rfam's summary of the family: Transfer RNA (tRNA) molecules are approximately 80 nucleotides in length. Their secondary structure includes four short double-helical elements and three loops (D, anti-codon, and T loops). RNAcentral also lists the same sequence under 3 other names. The record is from Rfam by way of RNAcentral. Lineage: Eukaryota; Metazoa; Chordata; Mammalia; Artiodactyla; Camelidae.